Bos taurus (domestic cattle) is the source of this 434-nucleotide long non-coding RNA. The record is from Ensembl. NCBI's taxonomy places the organism in Eukaryota, Metazoa, Chordata, Mammalia, Artiodactyla, Bovidae.
GAACACUGACCAUCACUCAGGUGAAUUACCGCGCGAUGGGACCUGAGAGCUGUUGGGACACCUAGACGUUGUUUCACCCAACAGUGUUUUCCCUGCAAGGUAUGUGGGAUCUUAGCUUCCUCAACCAGCGAUCAAACCCACAACCCCUGCAUUGGAAGGUGAAGUUUUACCCACUGGACCAUCAGAGGAGUCCCAGGCCCAGAUAGUUAAUGUGACUCCUCCUUGGAGGUUUCCAGAGGAACAGUGGAAGGAUAGAGGAAGGACAAAAUCAUUUCUUCUUCUUCUUGUUUCCUAUUCUUUUCAUCAUUCCUCUGGCAACACUACUCCUCAAUCCAUGAUCAGCAUAUUGUACCUGUAGUAGCAACUGUUUUGAGUAUGCAGGUCUAUAACAUUUUCAUAAGCAGAAUCACUGGCUCUCUCAGAGCACCAGCCAG